GAGCACUCACUUUGGCCUCACAUGUACUAAAAUUGGAAGGAAAUAGAGAAGACUAGCAUGGCCCCUUUGUAAAGAUGACAGAGACUGAUAUUUGACAGUCAUCAGUAACUA
This is a small nuclear RNA of Suricata suricatta (meerkat), 111 nucleotides long. The record is from RefSeq and is a predicted model, not a curated record. Lineage: Eukaryota; Metazoa; Chordata; Mammalia; Carnivora; Herpestidae.